CACCAGAUAGAGCAGUAGUGAGAAAGGCAUCUGGGAGACAGCCUUCGCAGAGGCUUUUAUCUCUCUUACAAGGGACCUUGAGAGAGGCUACUAAGAGAGGAGACGAUGUUCAGAGAUUUCAUCUUUCAUUUCCAGUUAUACAACGAAUCGAUCCUCAAGCACUCCAGAGAUCUCAGAUCAGAAAACUAUGGGCCUCCAGAAGAAUGAGACCAGCAUGUGCCAAGCCCUGUGUCCUACCUGCAGCACCAAGAAGAAAAUGUGGGCAGCAAAGUUUAUUUCUUCUUUCAGAGAGAGGGGAGAUAGAGAGAGAGAGGGAGAGGGAGAGGGAGAGGGGGAGGGGGAAAGGGAGGGGGAGGGGGAGGGAGAUAUCCUGGGACAAUAGAUCCCUGUGCUCUUUUCCUGCUCAUUUCUGGGAAAGCAAGGUCUGUUGAGGUUGACUGUAAGACAACUCUGGAAGGGGCAUUUUGUUUGGCAAGCACAAUGCACUUUUAUAUUUUUUCAUUAGUUGCCAACCUGCAAAAAUCUGGUGGUUUCACAUUGAAAGCUAGACUCCUGGCUCCCUCCAGCAGAGCUGGCUAGCCUGAGGUUAGGCUUCUGCUGUCCUCCCCAGUUAACUCCGUCAGACCAUGGCUUCUCUCAGCACACCCGAGGCAUGGACAGGUGUGUGUCUAUCCAUUUUCUUACUCAGAAAGCUAUGAGAACAGAUUCACCCUUGGGAUUGGGUCACAUGAGUUAAAAUCUGAGCCUGGGAAGUAACCUGGGCUCUAGAAGAGACUUAAAGGUCCAAGGUCUGAAGCCAGGGCUGAGAGUGGCUAGAACAGGAAAAAUGGUGAUAAUGUAUUUUAUUCUAGAUGCUCCUUGACCGUCUUAUAAUCUCUCUGUUAGAUCCAAUAAAAAUCUGAUUUUCUUCAUUCACUUCUCCUUAGCUCCACUCCCUUUUGGCAGCAACUAACUUUCUUCUUUUUCCCUAAACAGCCUUGGUGUCUUGGCUCUCUGGUCCACUGUCUGGGUUGGCCCAUUCUCAACAUUCCACUAGUUUUUCCACAUUUUCGUUUUAGAUCAGGGAGCCCUGGGAAUAACACCCUUUUGUUUUACUAUCAAAUCAAUAGAAAGUCUUGUUUCUGGUUGUAUGUCCUACUUAUUAGGACAUACAUCAGAACCACAUUGGUCGCCUUUCACAGCACUUUAACUUGGUCAUAAUGUGAUUUUGAUUGACAAAGAACUGAAAAACCAUCCCAUGGGGUAAAAAAAUAAUCAAGAUUUGGUGCGCAUCAAAUACCAAGCCUCAUUUUGGAGCCAGGACCAUAAUCCCCUAAGUAAAAUGAAAGGGCCCACACAUUUAUCCAUAAUAGUUUUAGUUUCCUACCUAUAGACUAAUUUAUAAUCACUCGAGCUCCUAAACUACAUUUGGUUGGGGUUGGUUAAAGCCUCCCUCUCCCACCCGGUUCUGUUUGCUUUCCCCUCCUGUCUUGCUUGCUCUUAUUAAACUAACCCUUAAAGGUCAGGCUGAUCAAAGCUGCUAAGCUGGGAAACAAAACUGUAAGCAGCGCAAACCUUGGUGUGUAUCUUAAGAAGAGUCGGAGCUCACUUUGCCGUGUCCUGGUUGUGCCUGAGGAGAUGUAAACCUGGAAAGUUCCACCACUUGUAUGCGGCCAUCAUCCCCAAGCCGCACUACUCUUGGAUCACUGUGGUACCUUCGAGGGAAGGCCGUGUCUGCCAUGUCAUCCGGCCCAGGAUGCUGCAAGCCAGACUCAAGAAAUCACAGGGGAGCAAGUCUUGCGCGGAGACCAUAGGAGACUGGACCAGACAAGAGCGCAGGUUUUUGAGCCAGAUGAACGUCAAAGGGUGCCCCAGUCUCUCGGGAGACACGGCAUUUGGUAGCCCCUGGACUGUGUUGAACACUUCUUGGGACCCCUCUGGGAAGGCCAAAUUCUUCAAGAGAUACACAGACCGCAGAGAGGGCGUGCGCGGGGGUGGGGUGGGGGAUGGGGUGUUGCAUUUUGCCAGGUCUGUAAAGUUGGAAAUAUUGCUCAAAAUUAGAUAAAAAACUAAUCAGAACACCAAGGUUUACUCUAGUAAGCAGUGGCAACAUCAAAUAAAACCCACCAC
Non-coding RNA from Rattus norvegicus (Norway rat), 2109 nucleotides. NCBI's taxonomy places the organism in Eukaryota, Metazoa, Chordata, Mammalia, Rodentia, Muridae. The record is from RefSeq and is a predicted model, not a curated record.